ACUUCCCAAACCCAAGAUAAAAGAACUUAGAGUACACAAACUCACCCACCAUCCUAGAUGCUAGCUCAAAUGAGGUUCCUAUUGCUAGCCAAAGAUGAGAACAAACCUAUGUCGCUCCCAAUACUCUCAAGAUUUUGCACAUGACAAGCUAUCAAGAAGAGGCCUCACUCAAGCAAAUCAAUGUUGGUCUCAAAGAAUGGUAAGGGUUUAAGGGUGUGGAGUGCCAUUUGGGUUAACAAAAAGGUAAUGAAUGGAAUAAGGUAACCCAAAUGUGUAUGAGAUCCAUGACUAAGUAUGCAAAUGCCCAUAUGCAAGAGAGAUUAGAUUCAUUAAGUUUAGGUUCAUUUGGAGUUGGUUUCAAGGCUAUAUAAAUCUCACACAGCACAAUAAGUUUCAAGCGGAGCUUUCAAGGCACAAAGCAUACAAGUUUUCCAAGAGAAGUUUAAGCUAUAAGGCAAUCCCAAUCAUUGUUCCAAAUGCAACAUGAAUGCAAUCCUAUAUGCUGUAGACUCAAUCCUAAGGAUGCAAAUGAUGCAACUACAUGCUUGUUUUUGG
This 555-nucleotide long non-coding RNA is filed under the name Brassica napus (rape). RNAcentral's name for it is "long non-coding RNA (BNAP_LNC010643)". Lineage: Eukaryota; Viridiplantae; Streptophyta; Magnoliopsida; Brassicales; Brassicaceae. The record is from RNAcentral.